This 944-nucleotide ribosomal RNA is filed under the name Globisporangium camurandrum. Its description in RNAcentral is "eukaryotic LSU rRNA". The stretch from base 255 to 409 matches the Rfam family "5.8S ribosomal RNA". The record is from RNAcentral. Lineage: Eukaryota; Oomycota; Peronosporomycetes; Pythiales; Pythiaceae.
CCACGCCAAAACUAUCCACGUGAACCGUUAAACAAACAGAAAGGGUCGUCCUAUUUGAUGCGAUGUUUGGGAGAUACUUGUUAUUUUCUAGGCAUUUCAUUGAGUAGGUCGACUGUCGAAGGUCGGGCGUUCGCCUAUAGUGUAGCUUUUGUUGCGCUAUAAGCUUGAGCAAACGGCUGAUUUAUUCUUUUAAACCAUACCUAAACCUACUGAUUAUACUGUGAGGACGAAAGUCCUUGCUUUUACUAGAUAACAACUUUCAGCAGUGGAUGUCUAGGCUCGCACAUCGAUGAAGAACGCUGCGAACUGCGAUACGUAAUGCGAAUUGCAGAAUUCAGUGAGUCAUCGAAUUUUUGAACGCAUAUUGCACUUCCGGGUUAUGCCUGGAAGUAUGUCUGUAUCAGUGUCCGUACAUUAAACUUGCCUCUCUUUGUCGGUGUAGUCCGGCUUGGAGAAAGAGCAGAUAUGAAGUGUCUCGCGCCAUGCUGGUGAUUUACUGUCGUGGUAAAUGACGAGAGUGCACGAGUCCUUUUAAAUGGACUACGGUCUUUCUAUUGCGUUGUUACUGAGCGUGUAUUUUGAGCACGGCGAGUCUGUCAAUUGUUUGUGUAAGUUUGCACCAUUGGCGGGAGCAUAUGGAAGAAACCUCUUUUUCGCGGUACGUUAGGCUUCGGCAUGACAAUGUUGUGAGAGAGUGGUGACUUUCGCUCUUUAGCUUUGAUGGAUACAUUCGCAUGAGGGAUUGACAGGGUUUAGCUGUUAGUAGAGAUAUGCUAGUAUGUGGCAUGCACUUGUUGUAAGGUAGAUUGGUUAUACCGAUGUAUUUUGCAAGUGGAAAGAUUGAUUUGGGAAAUUCUGUGCUACAUGGCGUGCUCAUCAAGCUUUCGAGCUUGUGUGUGCGUUGGUAGUAUCUCAAUUGGACCUGAUAUCAGACAAGACUACCC